Molecule: long non-coding RNA, 1427 nt
Organism: Zonotrichia leucophrys gambelii
Lineage: Eukaryota; Metazoa; Chordata; Aves; Passeriformes; Passerellidae
Exons: 3
Source: RefSeq, a predicted model, not a curated record
GCUGGGCUAACGAAUAAGGAGGGCAGCUGCUUUCUGAGUUGUCCUGAUGUUACUCCAUGUGGGCCGAAGCCUGAAGCCUUCUGAUGAGCCAAGCAAAGAUAAAAGGUGGAACGUGCCCCUCUCGCCUGCUCCCAGGGAAACUCCAUUAUCCUGCCAGGCUCACGUGGCUGCAGCAAAGCCAAUCUGAGUGGCAAGAGGAAGCCCACAAGGACGAGCUCAGUGUGAGCAGAAAAUGAAGUUGUUAGCAGACAGCAAACUGCAGCCCUCGGUUCUUAUGAAUAUUUGAAUGAGUGACUAAAAACAGCUCGGUGGACUCUAAGCAACUGUGACAGCUGAAACUGCCUGGGAAACCAGCAGUCUACAAGGACCAGGAUGAAAAGAUCAGCACUCACAUUUCCACCUACACCACCAGUAUAUUGUAAAACAUGAGCAGGUUCUUGGUCCCCCAAUAUUGUUUAGAAAGAAAAAGACCUUUUUCCUCUGAGUUUUCAUAAGAGGUAUCAACUGAAUCUGGCAAGGAAUUUUGAAUCCAUUGAAGUCCAAUGAUUUCUAACAACCUACUCAAGUGAAUCUUUCAUUAAUAUUUUUCAGCUGGCAAGAACGAUGAUGAGAACAGUUUCCCUGAAGCUAAUUUGUUCUGAAUAAUCUGCACUAAGAAGAACGGAUGAAAGAACCAUAAUAAGUAAACUAAUGAAAGACUGGGGUUGUUUUGUAGCAUUUGGAAAUAAGAGCAAGUGUUAUAAAAAGAACAAAGCAGCUAUAUCUUUUUUUAUUUUAAAAAAGGAUGAAGGAAGGGAAAAGUCUAUUACACUAAAGCGCAACUUUGACAAUGAUUUUUUUUGUUCCUUUUAUUCUCAUAUUUUAUAGAACUGCUUAAAGAUGUGUUUGGUAUGACCUUGAUGGUAUAGACCACAGUUAAUAUGUCCUCUGCUGUGUUCAUAACAUGAACAUUCCUGACUCAGUUGUUUUUGCUGGGAUUUUGCUGCUCCUUACACAGGAGGAGGCUCCAGAAUUGGUUUGGUGUGGUGUUUAAGGUAUUGGCUUUACAGCAAAACUUUGAGGAUGACAUCUUUCUCACAUUUUUUAUUGCUAUUGCAAGUUUACACUAUAAAUCUGACUUGAGAACCAGAUGAAUUGCUCAGAUAAAAUGUAACUGGCUUGCCGUAAAUGAGUAACAAAGAAAGGAGUCUGCUUUUAAAGUAGUAAGAUGAAGAGCCUUUUUAACAAAAACUGCACUUGCAUCUGUCAAAUGGCACUUUGUCCUGGCACUUAUGCCAUUUGGUAGCAGUGAUAUUGGUUUCAGCAGUGCUGGAACUGAGCCCUUUGAAAAAUUGUGGAGUUCCCACCAAACCUGCUCUUGUACAUUCACCAGGAAUGAUGGUGGAAUAAUUGAUCCUGUAGUAAUAAAACACAGCUAUUGACUGGCA